ACAACGGUGGCUUUUCAGGCCGCAGCCCUUGGAAAAAAGCCAAGCAGGAACU
This 52-nucleotide transfer RNA is filed under the name Aptenodytes patagonicus (king penguin). Its description in RNAcentral is "tRNA-Glu". Lineage: Eukaryota; Metazoa; Chordata; Aves; Sphenisciformes; Spheniscidae. The record is from RNAcentral.